This is a non-coding RNA of Musa acuminata subsp. malaccensis (wild Malaysian banana), 354 nucleotides long. Lineage: Eukaryota; Viridiplantae; Streptophyta; Magnoliopsida; Zingiberales; Musaceae. The record is from RefSeq and is a predicted model, not a curated record.
UGGCUACCGACCGGGAGGGCGGCGACGGGGAGCUGUCGGGGAGGCGGGCAGCAGGGGGCCGCUCUUCGCGGCCGGCGCGCUCGAGGGCGGACUUCACCUUCUCUAGGGUGCACACGCUGCGGUGACCCAAGGGUGUCGCCGCCGCCCACUGCUUCAGAAAGAGGGUGGCGGAGGAUCGCGGAGGGAGUGUGAGGUUGGGGUCGUGGCGAUGAAUAGGCACCGGAUCAUGGUGGCGCUUCUGGAGGUUCAUUCGAUUACAGUACCGCUAAUGCUGCAGUAGUAGAGAUGACACAAAGGGGGUGAUCUCUUGGUCAUGCAAGUAUCCCAGGAAGAGAAGUUUAUUAUUAAAGAUGU